GAUGAACGCUGGCGGCAGGCCUAAUACAUGCAAGUCGGACGGGAUUCAGGAGCUUGCUUCUGAUGAGAGUGGCGCACGGGUGCGUAACACGUAUGUAACCUACCUUUAUCAGGGGGAUAGCCUCUCGAAAGAGAGAUUAAGCCCGCAUAAAAUCACAGCACAGCAUUGUGUAAUGAUCAAAUAUUUAUAGGAUAAAGAUGGGCAUGCGGAACAUUAGCUAGAUGGCGGGGUAACGGCCCACCAUGGCGACGAUGUUUAGGGGAUCUGAGAGGAUGGCCCCCCACACUGGUACUGAGACACGGACCAGACUCCUACGGGAGGCAGCAGUAAGGAAUAUUGGUCAAUGGGCGGAAGCCUGAACCAGCCAUGCCGCGUGCAGGAAGACGGCCCUACGGGUUGUAAACUGCUUUUAUACGGGAAUAAACCCAGAUACGUGUAUCUGGCUGAAUGUACUGUAAGAAUAAGGAUCGGCUAACUCCGUG
Molecule: ribosomal RNA, 482 nt
Filed under: uncultured bacterium
Lineage: Bacteria
Description: partial 16S ribosomal RNA
Rfam family: Bacterial small subunit ribosomal RNA
Source: RNAcentral